UACAGAGGUCUCAAGCGUUGUUCGGAUUCAUUGGCGUAAAGGGUGUGUAGGUGGCGCCGUAAGUCGGGUGUGAAAUUUCGGAGCUUAACUCCGAAACUGCAUUCGAUACUGCGGUGCUUGAGGACUGGAGAGGAGACUGGAAUUCAUGGUGUAGCAGUGAAAUGCGUAGAGAUCAUGAGGAAGACCAGUGGCGAAGGCGGGUCUCUGGACAGUUCCUGACACUGAGACACGAAGGCCAGGAGAGCAAACGGG
RNAcentral lists this ribosomal RNA (252 nucleotides) under uncultured bacterium. RNAcentral describes it as "partial 16S ribosomal RNA". It matches the Rfam family "Bacterial small subunit ribosomal RNA", at positions 524 to 776 of the family's 1533-position model. The record is from RNAcentral.